AGUUAUUUUUGGGGCAUUUGAUGCACUGGAUGAGGUUCACCAAUAUGAUAGGCAUGUGUAUGACUCAUUGAUCUUGAAAGUUAUCACUACAAAAUGU
Long non-coding RNA from Dermochelys coriacea (leatherback sea turtle), 97 nucleotides. RefSeq lists it as uncharacterized. The record is from RefSeq and is a predicted model, not a curated record. The transcript has 3 exons. NCBI's taxonomy places the organism in Eukaryota, Metazoa, Chordata, Testudines, Dermochelyidae.